UACAGAGGUCUCAAGCGUUGUUCGGAUUCAUUGGGCGUAAAGGGUGCGUAGGCGGCGCGGUAAGUCGGGGGUGAAAUCUUGGAGCUUAACUCCGAAACUGCAUUCGAUACUGCCGUGCUUGAGGACUGGAGAGGAGACUGGAAUUUACGGUGUAGCGGUGAAAUGCGUAGAGAUCGUAAGGAAGACCAGUGGCGAAGGCGGGUCUCUGGGCCAGUUCUGACACUCAUCCGCGAAAGCGUGGGGAGCAAACAGG
This 253-nucleotide ribosomal RNA is filed under the name uncultured bacterium. RNAcentral's name for it is "partial 16S ribosomal RNA". It matches the Rfam family "Bacterial small subunit ribosomal RNA", at positions 524 to 776 of the family's 1533-position model. The record is from RNAcentral.